This 298-nucleotide long non-coding RNA is filed under the name Carica papaya (papaya). RNAcentral's name for it is "long non-coding RNA (CPAP_LNC015722)". Lineage: Eukaryota; Viridiplantae; Streptophyta; Magnoliopsida; Brassicales; Caricaceae. The record is from RNAcentral.
AAAGUAUUAAAUUUAAAAAAUUAUUAUUACUCAAACAUUUAACAAAAAUACAAAUUGGAACAACAUAUAAUUAACCAAAAUACUAUAAUACCAAUGUUAGAAAACUCAUGAAAUUAACAUAUAAUCUAUAAAAUAAUUUUAUAACUAUUUUUCAAAGAUCAUUUUGCAUAGUAUCACAUACAAUCAUCCUAGCCAUUUUUGGCCAAUUUUGGUCGAUUUUAUACCAUGCCUGCGAGAAAACAUAUUAAGGGGCUUCGGUUGGCCGAAAAAUGUCAAAAAACAAAAAUCUACCAGCAGC